RNAcentral lists this ribosomal RNA (426 nucleotides) under uncultured Polaribacter sp. RNAcentral describes it as "bacterial SSU rRNA". It matches the Rfam family "Bacterial small subunit ribosomal RNA", at positions 60 to 483 of the family's 1533-position model. The record is from RNAcentral. Lineage: Bacteria; Pseudomonadati; Bacteroidota; Flavobacteriia; Flavobacteriales; Flavobacteriaceae.
AGUCGAGGGGUAACAUUGUGCUUGCACAGAUGACGACCGGCGCACGGGUGCGUAACGCGUAUAGAACCUACCUUUUACAGAGGAAUAGCCUUUAGAAAUGAAGAUUAAUGCCUCAUGGUAUUGUAGACUGGCAUCAGUUUAUAAUUAAAGAUUUAUCGGUAAAAGAUGGCUAUGCGUCCUAUUAGUUAGUUGGUAAGGUAACGGCUUACCAAGACAGCGAUAGGUAGGGGUCCUGAGAGGGAGAUCCCCCACACUGGUACUGAGACACGGACCAGACUCCUACGGGAGGCAGCAGUGAGGAAUAUUGGACAAUGGAGGAGACUCUGAUCCAGCCAUGCCGCGUGUAGGAAGAAUGCCCUAUGGGUUGUAAACUACUUUUAUACAGGAAGAAACACUGGUAUGUAUACCAGCUUGACGGUACUGUAA